UACGUAGGAUGCUAGCGUUGUCCGGAUUUACUGGGCGUAAAGCGCGCGCAGGCGGCACUGUAAGUAAGGUGUGAAAUCUCCCUGCUCAACGGGGAGGGUGCACUUUAGACUGCAGAGCUAGAGGACGGUAGAGGGGGGUGGAAUUGCUGGUGUAGCGGUGAAAUGCGUAGAGAUGCGGAGGAACACCGAUGGCGAAGGCAGCCCCCUGGGCUAGCACUGACGCUCAGGCACGAAAGCGUGGGGAGCAAACAGG
Molecule: ribosomal RNA, 253 nt
Filed under: uncultured bacterium
Lineage: Bacteria
Description: partial 16S ribosomal RNA
Rfam family: Bacterial small subunit ribosomal RNA
Source: RNAcentral